GAAAACGUAGUUAAAUGGUUAUGACAUUGGAUUACUGAUUGGAAAGUUAUGAGUUCAAAUCCCAGUGCUUACA
Non-coding RNA from Pangasius djambal, 73 nucleotides. NCBI's taxonomy places the organism in Eukaryota, Metazoa, Chordata, Actinopteri, Siluriformes, Pangasiidae. The record is from the annotation of a GenBank genome assembly.